Molecule: ribosomal RNA, 493 nt
Filed under: Arthrobacter globiformis
Lineage: Bacteria; Bacillati; Actinomycetota; Actinomycetes; Micrococcales; Micrococcaceae
Description: bacterial SSU rRNA
Rfam family: Bacterial small subunit ribosomal RNA
Source: RNAcentral
AAGCCUGAUGCAGCGACGCCGCGUGAGGGAUGACGGCCUUCGGGUUGUAAACCUCUUUCACCCGGGAAGAAGCCUAAGUGACGGUACCUGCAGACUAAGCGCCUCCUAAUUACGUGCCACCACCGCGGUUACGCAGGGCGCAGCGUUAUCUGGAAUUAUUGGGCGUAAAGAGCUCGUAUGCGGUUUGUCGCGUCUGCCGCGAAAGUCUGGGGCUCAACUCCAGAUCUGCGGUGGGUACGGGCAGACUCGAGUGAUGAGGGGAGACUGGAUUUCCUGGUGUAGGGUUAUGCGCACAGACUAGGAGGGACACCAUGGCGAAGGAGGUCUCUGGGCAUUAACUGACCCUGAGGAGCGAAAGCAUGGGGAGCGAACAGGAUUAGAUACCCUGGUAGUCCAUGCCGUAAACUUUGGGCACUAGGUGUGGGGGACAUUCCACUUUUUCCUCGUCGUAGCUCACUCAUUAAGUGCCCCGCCUGGGGUGUCCGCCCCGAAG